This 996-nucleotide long non-coding RNA is filed under the name Chrysemys picta bellii (western painted turtle). RNAcentral describes it as "lncRNA (ENSCPBG00000011166.1)". Lineage: Eukaryota; Metazoa; Chordata; Testudines; Emydidae. The record is from RNAcentral.
GAUCCUCCCCAGCCUCCCCCUGAGGGUCCCCGCCCAGCCCAGGGGCCCAGCGCCGCGGAUGGCACCGGAUAGCGCAAGCGACCCCCACACGACUCACCCUCUAUCCUCGCCACGCUCUCUGGGAGGCCAAGACAAGGGCUGCUCAACGGCUGUGUGGCUUCUUAAAUAGCGCACUUGCUCUCGCGAGAUCUGGCUGGCCUGAUGGGAAGAAGGAAGCAGAGGGGGCUGUCCGCGAGCGCCAUCUUGGGAGAGGCACUGAGGGUCCCUGCCCCUCUCUCCCCAGCGUUGUAAGGGUGGUGGCAGCAGCAGAGGCACGGGAGACUGGUGCGCUUGCGCAGACGGAGCCCAGCUGCGGGCCAGCAGAGCCGCUCCCCAGCGGUACUCUAAUCAGUAAGUCUCAGUGCCUGGUGUACUCUGAUCUCUUCAGCAGAGAAUUUAUAAAUCAGUUGUCCAGUUUGCUGAAAGAAAUAGAAAAUGGCCAAAGUUGAAAAGCUUGCUCUUCAUGUCCCAAGUCUAGAGGAACUUUCUGGGGUGGAGAUCCUUUCAGAGCCUCGUUACUGACCCACUCACCUAGCAGGAGCUAAAACCUCACAUAAUGCUGCUAAGUAAAUUUUGCUGACUCAUUAUGGCAAAUGGCUUUAACUCCACCCGGCUAGAAGACAGGUGGGUAUGUGUGAUGCUGCACUCCAUAUGUUUAUGGUAAUAUACUUAUGAGUGUAAAUAUGAUGUAACUGGAAUAUGCUUUAUGCAAAAGGUCUCUUGUAAGGUAUAAUUACAAAGCUUAUAAUCUACUGAGUAUAUUCAUCCUAUUUGUAUGAAUGUAUCAUUCUUGUAUCUGAAGCUAGAAAUUUGAAGUGUUACUCUGAACUCCUAUUGUAACUAUGCAAAGUUUGGGCCAUUAAUGAUAGUUUGGAAUCUUGAUGGCUCCCAUCAACUAGGACAAUUGGUUGUAAAUGGCUCUGUUUACUUGCAAGCCUUCCUGUGAGUCAGGCCAGG